RNAcentral lists this ribosomal RNA (497 nucleotides) under Delocrania panamensis. RNAcentral's name for it is "eukaryotic LSU rRNA". The record is from RNAcentral. Lineage: Eukaryota; Metazoa; Arthropoda; Insecta; Coleoptera; Chrysomelidae.
UGAGUUCAAGAGUACGUGAAACCGUUCAGGGGUAAACCUGAGAAACCCGAAAGGUCGAAUGGGGAAAUUCAUUCGCGUUUCGAUUGUCGGCGUUGAGCGGUUGCGUGACGAACGAAGCUUCUGCUUAGUUCGCGCCUUCAGUUCUUCGAACCGACUUCGAACGCGUGCACUUUUCCCCUAGUAGGACGUCGCGAUCCGUUGGGCGUCGAUCUAAGGCCUGCGGUGGAGCUCGCGUAGACGUUUCGGCGUUCUGCACGAACCCGCAGUGUCCCGAUCGACUCGCUCGACGGUAAAUGAAAGGCGCGGGGCCGCUACAUAGUUAGCGUUCGACCUACGGCAAGCACGUUCGGUGUUUAAACGGCGAUCAGACCUGGUCGGAUCCCGUUCCCGGACGACUGUUGGCACGUAGUGUUCUCGAACAGACCUCGUUGAAACGCCGAUCUGCGACGCUAUAGCUUUGGGUACUUUCAGGACCCGUCUUUGAAACACGGACCAAA